RNAcentral lists this ribosomal RNA (1263 nucleotides) under Lophodermium conigenum. Its description in RNAcentral is "eukaryotic LSU rRNA". It matches the Rfam family "Eukaryotic large subunit ribosomal RNA", at positions 69 to 1081 of the family's 3401-position model. Lineage: Eukaryota; Fungi; Ascomycota; Leotiomycetes; Rhytismatales; Rhytismataceae. The record is from RNAcentral.
CAGGGAUUGCCUCAGUAACGGCGAGUGAAGCGGCAACAGCUCAAAUUUGAAAGCUGGCUCCUUCGGGGCCCGCGUUGUAAUUUGUAGAGGAUGCUUCGGGCGCGGCACCGGUCUAAGUUCUCUGGAACGAGACGUCAUAGAGGGUGAGAAUCCCGUAUGUGACUGGCUGCCUGUGCCCAUGUGAAGCUCCUUCGACGAGUCGAGUUGUUUGGGAAUGCAGCUCAAAAUGGGAGGUGUACUCCUUCUAAAGCUAAAUAUUGGCCAGAGACCGAUAGCGCACAAGUAGAGUGAUCGAAAGAUGAAAAGCACUUUGGAAAGAGAGUUAAACAGUACGUGAAAUUGUUGAAAGGGAAGCGCUUGCAAUCAGACUUGCGCGGCGUCGAUCAGCCCGGGUUCUCCCUGGUGCACUCGGCGCCGCUCAGGCCAGCAUCAGUUUCGGCGGUGGGAUAAAGGCCUAGGGAACGUGGGUCCCCUCGGGGACCGUUAUAGCCCUAGGUGCAAUGCCGCCUGCCGGGACUGAGGACCGCGCUUCGGCUAGGAUGCUGGCGUAAUGGUUGUAAGCGACCCGUCUUGAAACACGGACCAAGGAGUCUAACAUCUAUGCGAGUGUUUGGGUGUCAAACCCAUACGCGUAAUGAAAGUGAACGGAGGUGAGAACCCUUAAGGGCGCAUCAUCGACCGAUCCUGAUGUCUUCGGAUGGAUUUGAGUAAGAGCAUAGCUGUUGGGACCCGAAAGAUGGUGAACUAUGCCUAGAUAGGGUGAAGCCAGAGGAAACUCUGGUGGAGGCUCGCAGCGGUUCUGACGUGCAAAUCGAUCGUCAAAUCUGGGUAUAGGGGCGAAAGACUAAUCGAACCAUGAGACCUAGCUUCUAGGUGGUUGGGAGGCCUGCGCGGCCUAGUCGCUCCGGCGGCGAUACUGCAAAAUUGCGGGGACCGCUCUCGAGGUUCCAGGCUACCCCAGCGCGCUCGAAAGGGCGCGCCACGGUCACAACGCCUGGGCCUGAGCCGAUCCGCAGUCCAGCCCUACGGCGCUCCGCUACGGGCUGCGAUUCAUCGACUAGAUGGCAGUGGGUACCAUGUGCCUAAGGGAUAGUCAGACCGCGGCGCCCCACGCCGCGGGCAGCUCGCUAGUAGCUGGUUCACGCCGAAGUUUCCCUCAGGAUAGCAGUGUUGUAUUCAGUUUUAUGAGGUAAAGCGAAUGAUUAGAGGCCUUGGGGAAGAAACUUCCUUAACCUAUUCUCAAACUUUAAAUAUGUAAGAAGU